This 513-nucleotide long non-coding RNA is filed under the name Mus pahari (shrew mouse). RNAcentral's name for it is "lncRNA (MGP_PahariEiJ_G0004756.1)". The record is from RNAcentral. Lineage: Eukaryota; Metazoa; Chordata; Mammalia; Rodentia; Muridae.
UUUUUCCUGCUGCUGCCUCUACUGCCUCUCUCCCAUAGGAAGAACACUACCUCUGGGUAGCCAGGAGCUGAGAUGCAGUCUGAAUGUUCACGGUGGCUUCUGACGUGGCAGCAUGAAUUCUCAGCUGGGCAGAGCCUAAGAGAUAUCAUCAUGGAUGUGGCUUUUAAUGAUUUGCGGGAGAAAAAGAAAAAGAAAAAGAAAAAUGACAGCCUGUGGAGACGCCGAUUGGAGAAAGCAGCACAUUGUGGUUAUUGCCAAUUUGAAAUACUGGGUUUGUGAAGCCAAGCCCUAAGGGAGUAGCCGGGUAACUGAGAAAGAGAUCGUAGAUAAAGAAAUAAAAAUGACAAGCGUAAUGGAGGCUGUGCGAAGGGACUGUCAGAGCAUCCGUUCAUGGAUGGCAAUCUUGCCAGGCAGAGAUUGAAUAAUUCAUAGAUGGAAACUACCCUGCCUUCACCUUCCCAUUUAAACCGGGCAUGAGCUGAAUCUCUAAUAAAUUUUCAAGAUAAAGUAAAA